GAUCAUGGCUCAGGAUGAACGCUAGCGACAGGCCUAACACAUGCAAGUCGAGGGGCAGCGGAGAGGUAGCAAUACCUUUGCCGGCGACCGGCGCACGGGUGAGUAACACGUAUGCAAUCCACCUGUAACAGGGGGAUAACCCGGAGAAAUCCGGACUAAUACCCCCAUAAUAUGGGCGCUCCGCAUGGAGAGUCCAUUAAAGAGAGCAAUCUUGGUUACAGACGAGCAUGCG
This 232-nucleotide ribosomal RNA is filed under the name uncultured bacterium. Its description in RNAcentral is "partial 16S ribosomal RNA". It matches the Rfam family "Bacterial small subunit ribosomal RNA", at positions 15 to 235 of the family's 1533-position model. The record is from RNAcentral.